RNAcentral lists this ribosomal RNA (1045 nucleotides) under Burkholderia sp. U1 ecto 4. RNAcentral describes it as "partial 16S ribosomal RNA". The stretch from base 1 to 405 matches the Rfam family "Bacterial small subunit ribosomal RNA", at positions 537 to 1533 of the family's 1533-position model. Lineage: Bacteria; Pseudomonadati; Pseudomonadota; Betaproteobacteria; Burkholderiales; Burkholderiaceae. The record is from RNAcentral.
GACGUAUCGGAUACUGGGCGUAAGCGUGCGCAGGCGGUUCGUUAAGACAGAUGUGAAAUCCCCGGGCUUAACCUGGGAACUGCAUUUGUGACUGGCGAGCUAGAGUAUGGCAGAGGGGGGUAGAAUUCCACGUGUAGCAGUGAAAUGCGUAGAGAUGUGGAGGAAUACCGAUGGCGAAGGCAGCCCCCUGGGCCAAUACUGACGCUCAUGCACGAAAGCGUGGGGAGCAAACAGGAUUAGAUACCCUGGUAGUCCACGCCCUAAACGAUGUCAACUAGUUGUUGGGUCUUCAUUGACUUAGUAACGUAGCUAACGCGUGAAGUUGACCGCCUGGGGAGUACGGUCGCAAGAUUAAAACUCAAAUGAAUUGACGGAACCGCUUCUCUUAUGGGGACCACCUCGCCAUUGGUUCGAAUCUGGAAAAGGCAAAGGCCGGGCUUUCCCUCCCGCUCUUGUCAUUUCGUAUCGGAACCAAAGGCCCCGGUCGCCGAUCGUCGAUAUCCGGGUCGGCCGCAAUGGAAUCUUUUCGAAGCCCACGCCGUGGGUUUUGUUCAUGAAGGCGGCGUGCGCGACGCUAGCGAGGGUGAAAGUCCGAGCAAAUAUGUUCUUAUAGCGUGUUUUCACUGGCCCCAAUGGCUUCCACCGCCCGGGGUCCGCCAAUGUAAACCUCGGGGGGAAUUCUACCCCAAACUUUUGUUUGGGUGUAUCCAGGUCCCCGGUCCAAGAGAUUGGCCAAUUGCACUGGAACAAACCCAGAAAGGGGUUCGCUAGCAAUCUCGCGCGCGCCACUUCAGCUUGUGGGCUAAGACUACUACCUCCGGCCGAGGCUACAGAUAAUGCGGUUUUCCUACGUUUCUCCCUAGGGUAGAUCUCAACGCCUUCGUUUGAUAUAGCGCACAAUAUCUAUAUGUACGUGAAGGCCUGAUAGUAGUUGGUCGAUACUCUGCGUACGACCACUCAUUCCCGUGCCGUUGGUUGUUGUUUGUCGAUUUACACAUAGAAGGGUAGGUCCCUCCCGCCCAGCUCACCCUACGCACUGACGUCA